UACACAGAAAACACUGCUUUAUUGACUGCAUUUGCCAACACAUUGAGGAAUGCAAAGGGAUUUUUUCAUAAGCAAUGGGCCAUGGUCCCAAUGUGUAUUAAAGCAUACACUGUAUCUAAACAGGAUGAAAAUAAUGGCAGACAGAGCUAUUCCAAGGCAACACAAAUAGCAUGCAUAAUACAGUCUCACACAGAACGAGUUUGAGAACAUUAUAUUGCUUUAAGGAUUAACUAACAUGGAAAAUGUACAAAAAGGAGAAAUAGGUUUUUGCAUUAAUGAAAAAUACAUUUUUUCUCUACAAAGGAAUUUCUAAUACAAGAAAAUAAAUAUUGCAACAUAAGCCAAAAAUAAUUUAAAAUUGCUCUUUUCAAUAUAUUUUCAAUAUUUCUCUUUUGUAUUAACAAAUGGCACAUCACGUUCUUUGAAACAAAGAAAACAGAAGGGUUUCUCCUCCUGCGACAUUCAUAUCGUUUCCUGUAACUGAUGUGAAGUCGGUCUGUUUGUAUGUGGAAUGGUGCAAACUGCGGGGUGAGCUCCUUAAAGAACAACCAAACCUUGUGCCCUGCCCUGCAGCAGCAUCUUCCCGCAUCCCGCUCUCGCCUCCCGGCUCCGUUCUGCACCCGCCUUGGGAUGAGCUCCGUGGACAGCGGGCACCCAACCCCCGGGAAAUAGGUGCAAGCGAAAAAGAAUAGUUAAAAGUAAUCAAAAAAUGGGAAUGGGGAAAACGGGUUGUGGAAUCGGAGCUGUCCUCAGGGAACUCCCACCACCAUCAGAGCUGGGGUUGACGUUGGGGCUGUGCUCCAUGAUGAGGGCAUGAUGCUAUUUGCAUCCUCAUCUCAGCAGCUGCUGCUUCUCCAAGGAAACGGGUGCUCUUACAGUGCAAAUGUCAAUUCCUGUAGUUUAUACAUCUUAAAAGACAAUAUUUCUCUACUAAAAUAAACCCUUUUAUAGUAAUUAUUUUUUCUUUCUAUUCAUGUCAAAAUACAUUUACAGUACAUCAAAAAUAUUUUCCUUGUGCAUUUUCUCUCGGAAAUGCCAGGUUACCCUGUUCCAAUGCAGUGGCGAGGAUGCUCUGGGCAGGGGAUGCACCAGAGUGGUCCAGUCCUCACCCAGCCCCAUGGCUCACGAGAGCCCCUUUUCUCCUCUCUAUCCCCCCUACCCCAUUCUUCUCCCCGGGUUGGACAUGCCCCACCAGCCCGCUUUAGCUUUCCCCAUCUAAACACCAUCUCCCAAUGGCAAAAUACAGUGCCUGAUAUUUUGGGAGUGUUUCCAACUGUUUUAUUGCCUGGUGCUGGUGGCGCUGGGUUGGUUGUUCUUUAAAGUCUCCCCCUCUUUGCUUUCCUGUACUGAGAAGACAAGUAGUGCAGAAGCUGAUGAAUGGAGCUGUGUACAGUGAAAUUUGUGGAUUGCUUUUUCUGAUUUAACCAUAAUUGAGUGAAGCACACGGAAGCAAGAUUCAUUAAAAGGCAGCAUAUUGAUUAUUGUUAUGACUCUUAUACUAGGAUACUGUAGCUAAAGCUAGCAAGCCUGAUAAGAUAAACUAAGUCCUAUUUACUGUAUUUAACAUUAUCCGAACAUACUGAGCCUUAACUAAUGAGCAGAUUUUCAUUUCCAACCUCAA
Molecule: long non-coding RNA, 1621 nt
Organism: Strigops habroptila (Kakapo)
Lineage: Eukaryota; Metazoa; Chordata; Aves; Psittaciformes; Psittacidae
Source: Ensembl